GACCAUGGGAAGGGGUGUCUUUUCUUCUUGGGCCCUUGCUGGAUGUGACUGAGGGUGACACCAGCUCCAAGGGACUAGAAAUGAGGGAUGGGUGAGAGAGAAAAAGCCUGCGUCCUCCAGGACUCUGGUCCUGAGACCCAGGAAAUCUGAGGCGUCCGUGAUGGGGCAGGUCCACUCGAGUGGAUAUCAGCUGCCAUCUUUUCCGCGGCACCGAGCAGAGCUGAGACUUUGCCUCCCAGUUUGGCAGCCGAGUUCAUGAGCGUCUGACAGCGUGACUGGAUGUCGGGAAAUUAUAAAACUAUCUCUCCCCUGGAAUGGGGGAUGUGGGUGUGCCCUGCCCCUGCCUAUGCCAGAGGAAGCAGGUGAUUGGACCUGGCUUUAGUUCUUCCAAGUGUCCCGACAUGACCUCUAGUCAGAGAAGUAGUGUGUGCUCCUGUCCUCACCCUCAGCUCCAGUGACUCCCCACAAAGGCAGCGGGAAAGAGCCUUCUAAAGACCAGUGAGGACGUCCUGCUGAGAGGUCGAGGCAGGCCCUCUGUCACAGUGCCAGCCACCGGCCUUUAGCUGCUCGCGUCCCCGUUCGCUGAAAUCCCACCACCACCUGAGCAGGUAGGUUCCACUUUUAGCUCAUUUUGCAGAGGAAAAACAUUGAAGAACAGAGAAUUUAAGCCACGUGCCCAAGACCACACUGCCGUAAAUAGGACGGCAUAGAUUGGGACACACUGCCAGGUCUUGCCAAGGCACCACCCACCUCUUGCCCCACCCCAAACACCCCCACACUGCAGCCCCACCUCCCCUCCCUACUCGGUCCUCGUC
Molecule: long non-coding RNA, 815 nt
Organism: Tupaia belangeri chinensis (Chinese tree shrew)
Lineage: Eukaryota; Metazoa; Chordata; Mammalia; Scandentia; Tupaiidae
Exons: 3
Source: RefSeq, a predicted model, not a curated record